Molecule: long non-coding RNA, 1097 nt
Filed under: Marmota monax (woodchuck)
Lineage: Eukaryota; Metazoa; Chordata; Mammalia; Rodentia; Sciuridae
Source: RNAcentral
UCAGAGCUUUUCAUUAGUAGGUAUAGGGUGGGGUCAAAGAAUUUGGACUUUUCACAAGUUCCCAGAUGAUAUUAGUCUUAGAGCUACAUGCACAAUUACUGGUUUAAACAAAUAGAGGUGAGAAACAUCAAUGGAUAAGUGAGGGAUGGUCUAGAGGCAGACUUCCCAGGCCUGGAACUAUGGUUGUGUGAUACUUUAGGAUCCUAGACUCCCUUCUGCUCCAUAAUCCUUAGACCUCUUGGUUUCAUGAUAGCUCCUGAGCUCCAAGUUCCAUUCAAGGGAGAAAAAGAGAGAGAGAGAGAGAGAGAGAGAGAGAGAGAGAGAGAGAGAGAGAGAGAGAGAGAGAGAAAGCUUCACCAGUAUUUACCUCCCUUAACUCCUGCCUGGGAAUGUCUGCUUGCAGUUUUUAGCUAGAACUGUGUCACAUAGAGGAUGUUACCUGUAACAGUGACUUGAAAAUGUGGGCUUUUUUUGUAGACAGGUAAGUGGCUACCUUGAAUAAAACUGGAUGUGGCAGACAUGUGUUCUUUGUGAUUGUGAUGAUAAGGUUUCUAAUGUCUCAUCAUUAAGAUGUUAUUGGCUUCUUAUUUUGAUGAAGAUUCUCUCCUUGACCAAACUCAUUAAUCAGUGAAGUCUUUUUUAACUAAGUCUCUCUCUCUCUCUCUUUUUUUUUUUUUUUAAUUUCAGGGUGUAUCCUUACCUUGUCUAAUUUUAGAAGAAUCCUGGUAAGUCAGUUUAACCGGAAGUCCCCAUCCUCAAAAUCUGAUCACCCUCAAUAUCUAAUAGAGUUCCUCUUCCUCUUUCCACUGGGGAUGCCAGAUCAACCCAGCCUGCCUUCAGCAGGAAUCCUGUUUUGUUGGUGUAACCAGAAUUCCCCCUGAUCACUAAUGUUUCCUCUUGGAAAUUUUCUGUCGAUUGCCCCACACUUUGCUCCCUGUGUAUAAAUUCCAGUCUGCCCAUGUUAUUUGUGGAAUUGAUACCUGUUCAAUACUGAGGUCUCUUUCACAGUAUCACAAUAGUCUUAAGUAAAAUCUGUUUUUACUGCUUUACCUAUUGUCCAACUCUGAUUUUUCUGUGAUGAUAUUAAGGAGAUGUCU